Molecule: small nuclear RNA, 86 nt
Organism: Cercocebus atys (sooty mangabey)
Lineage: Eukaryota; Metazoa; Chordata; Mammalia; Primates; Cercopithecidae
Source: Ensembl
GUGCUCCCUUCAGCAGCACAUAUAUUAAAAUUGGAAGGAUACAGAGAAGAUUACCAUGGCCCCUGUGCAAGGAGGACAUGCAAAUU